Molecule: ribosomal RNA, 501 nt
Filed under: uncultured bacterium
Lineage: Bacteria
Description: partial 16S ribosomal RNA
Rfam family: Bacterial small subunit ribosomal RNA
Source: RNAcentral
AUUGAACGCUGGCGGCAGGCUUAACACUUGCAAGUCGAGCGGGGGAAGGUAGCUUGCUACCGGACCUAGCGGCGGACGGGUGAGUAAUGCUUAGGAAUCUGCCUAUUAGUGGGGGACAACAUCUCGAAAGGGAUGCUAAUACCGCAUCCGUCCUACGGGAGAAAGCAGGGGAUUUUCGGACCUUGCGCUAAUAGAUGAGCCUAAGUCGGAUUAGCUAGUUGGUGGGGUAAAGGCCUACCAAGGCGACGAUCUGUAGCGGGUCUGAGAGGAUGAUCCGCCACACUGGGACUGCGACACGGCCCAGACUCCUACGGGAGGCAGCAGUGGGGAAUAUUGGACAAUGGGGGGAACCCUGAUCCAGCCAUGCCGCGUGUGUGAAGAAGGCCUUAUGGUUGUAAAGCACUUUAAGCGGGGAGGAGGCUACUCUAGUUAAUACCUAGGGAUAGUGGACGUUACUCGCAGAAUAAGCACCGGCUAACUCUGUGCCAGCAGCCGCGGUAA